This 1118-nucleotide long non-coding RNA is filed under the name Citrus x clementina. RNAcentral describes it as "Citrus clementina (C. clementina) long non-coding RNA (CCLE_LNC003851)". Lineage: Eukaryota; Viridiplantae; Streptophyta; Magnoliopsida; Sapindales; Rutaceae. The record is from RNAcentral.
AGCCACAUAUUUGUUAACUUAUUGUUAUCCAUUAGUACUUUUUUAUCAAUUAAAAAAAAGCAACGACACAUUCAACGCUUUGGUGCUUAUUUAAAAGAAAAAAGAACUUUAUAAACCCAAUUCCAAAUUCCUUGUCAAUUUCCGAAGGGUAAGGUUAUCUCUACGCUCUACGAUUUCGCUUCAUUUGUUUGAAUCUCUCCUUCAUCACAAUAUAGGUAUUCUAUUUUUUAUUAAUUUUUUUUUUGCUUGGGUAUGAUUGGCUCAUGCUAUUCCCUUAUUUGGAUUUUAGGGUAUGUAAACUGCUUUUUUAAAUUUUUGGUUAAGAAAAAAAAAUCAACUAUUUUUAUUGAUCACUGCCACUUAAAGUUUCAAUCCAUCAAAGUUAAGGGUCUAUUUGGUAUCCUUUUCUAUGCCAUAUUUUCAUUUUCAUUUUUAGAUUCUAGAUGUAAUAUUCGUUCGAUGGAUUUGAAUAAAAAAAACAAAUUAUAAAACGCAUAAAACAGAUUCAGCUUUAUAGAAAUAAAUUGAGUAACAUGUUAUAUACAUUUUGGGUGAAUUACAAAACAAAUUUUGAAAUAAAUUAUAAAAGAAAUUUUAAGCAUUCCCCAAGAAACUUCCACUUCUUCUCUCUCCUAAAACAAAACCUUAUCACUAAAUCGAUCUAUUCUUCUCUCUCCAUUAGAUCUAAACUCAAAACUCUCGUUCAUGGCUUUUACUGCUCUUCUUCAACAAAUAUUCACCAUCACUAAAUAUUGAAUAAGAUCGUUGUUGCUGCUCUCUCUCUCUCUCUCUGGGUUGCUGCUACUGCGCCCUCUCUCUCUCUCUUCCACUGCUGUUAUUCUAUCCCUGCCUCUCUUGUUGUUCUAUCUCUGCUCCUGCUGCUUUCUAUCGGCUGCUGGCGCCAUUGCUUUGCUACUGUCGCUCUCUCUGCCAUUGCUACUAUAUUUCUACUGCUGCUGUUACAACUUUGUAAUUCAUAAUGUUUAUCAUGUAAUUCGAUAGUUAUUUUAUUUAAACUGUUGUAAUAUUAUCUUAAUUAUAGUUUAAGAAAACGGCAGUGCAAAACUACUUCUUAGUAAUGGUAAUACUAAGUUACUUAUGGUACGCUUGUUUAUGUA